GACGAACGCUGGCGGCGUGCUUAACACAUGCAAGUCGAACGGUAAGGCCCUUCGGGGUACACGAGUGGCGAACGGGUGAGUAACACGUGGGUGAUCUGCCCUGCACUUCGGGAUAAGCCUGGGAAACUGGGUCUAAUACCGGAUAGGACUCCGGACUGCAUGGUCUGGGGUGGAAAGCUUUUGCGGUGUGGGAUGGGCCCGCGGCCUAUCAGCUUGGUGGUUGGGUGAUGGCCUACCAAGGCGACGACGGGUAGCCGGCCUGAGAGGGUGACCAGCCACACUGUGGCUGAGAUGCGGCCCAGACUCCUACGGGAGGCAGCAGUGGGGAAUAUUGCACAAUGGGCGCAAGCCUGGUGCAGCGACGCCGCGUGAGGGAUGACGGCCUUCGGGUUGUAAACCUCUUUCAGCAUCGACGAAGCGAAAGUGACGGUAGGUGCAGAAGAAGGACCGGCCAACUACGUGCCAGCGGCCGCCGUAA
Molecule: ribosomal RNA, 478 nt
Filed under: uncultured bacterium
Lineage: Bacteria
Description: partial 16S ribosomal RNA
Rfam family: Bacterial small subunit ribosomal RNA
Source: RNAcentral